GGACGCAAGUCUGAUCCAGCCAUGCCGCGUGAAGGAUUAAGGCCCUCUGGGUUGUAAACUUCUUUUAUAGGGGACGAAAAAAGGGUUUUCUAACUCGUCUGACGGUACCCUAUGAAUAAGCACCGGCUAACUCCGUGCCAGCAGCCGCGGUAAUACGGAGGGUGCAAGCGUUAUCCGGAUUCACUGGGUUUAAAGGGUGCGUAGGCGGGCAGUUAAGUCAGUGGUGAAAUCUUCGAGCUUAACUCGGAAACUGCCAUUGAUACUAUCUGUCUUGAAUACUGUGGAGGUGAGCGGAAUAUGUCAUGUAGCGGUGAAAUGCUUAGAUAUGACAUAGAACACCGAUUGCGAAGGCAGCUCGCUACACAAAUAUUGACGCUGAGGCACGAAAGCGUGGGGAUCAAACAGGAUUAGAUACCCUGGUAGUCCACGCCCUAAACUAUGGAUACUCGACAUUUGCGAUACACAGUAAGUGUCU
RNAcentral lists this ribosomal RNA (475 nucleotides) under uncultured bacterium. RNAcentral describes it as "bacterial SSU rRNA". It matches the Rfam family "Bacterial small subunit ribosomal RNA", at positions 373 to 848 of the family's 1533-position model. The record is from RNAcentral.